CACGUAGGAGGCAAGCGUUAUCCGGAUUUACUGGGCGUAAAGCGCGUGCAGGUGGUUCGGCAAGUUGGAUGUGAAAGCUCCUGGCUCAACUGGGAGAGGUCGUUCAAUACUGCCGGGCUUGAGAAUAGUAGAGGAAGAUGGAAUUCCCGGUGUAGUGGUGAAAUGCGUAGAUAUCGGGAGGAACACCAGUGGCGAAAGCGGUCUUCUGGACUAUUUCUGACACUCAGACGCGAAAGCUAGGGUAGCAAACGGG
This 253-nucleotide ribosomal RNA is filed under the name uncultured bacterium. RNAcentral describes it as "partial 16S ribosomal RNA". It matches the Rfam family "Bacterial small subunit ribosomal RNA", at positions 524 to 776 of the family's 1533-position model. The record is from RNAcentral.